GACGAACGCUGGCGGCGUGCUUAACACAUGCAAGUCGAACGGAAAGGCCCUGCUUUUGUGGGGUGCUCGAGUGGCGAACGGGUGAGUAACACGUGAGUAACCUGCCCUUGACUUUGGGAUAACUUCAGGAAACUGGGGCUAAUACCGGAUAGGAGCUCCUGCUGCAUGGUGGGGGUUGGAAAGUUUCGGCGGUUGGGGAUGGACUCGCGGCUUAUCAGCUUGUUGGUGGGGUAGUGGCCUACCAAGGCUUUGACGGGUAGCCGGCCUGAGAGGGUGACCGGCCACAUUGGGACUGGGAUACGGCCCAGACUCCUACGGGAGGCAGCAGUGGGGAAUAUUGCACAAUGGGCGGAAGCCUGAUGCAGCAACGCCGCGUGCGGGAUGACGGCCUUCGGGUUGUAAACCGCUUUCGCCUGUGACGAAGCGUGAGUGACGGUAAUGGGUAAAGAAGCACCGGCUAACUACGUG
This 468-nucleotide ribosomal RNA is filed under the name uncultured bacterium. RNAcentral describes it as "partial 16S ribosomal RNA". It matches the Rfam family "Bacterial small subunit ribosomal RNA", at positions 28 to 507 of the family's 1533-position model. The record is from RNAcentral.